AGUGAACGCUGGCGGUAGGCCUAACACAUGCCAGUCGAACGGCAGCACAGUAAGAGCUUGCUCUUACGGGUGGCGAGUGGCGGACGGGUGAGGAAUACAUCGGAAUCUACUUUUUCGUGGGGGAUAACGUAGGGAAACUUACGCUAAUACCGCAUACGACCUACGGGUGAAAGCAGGGGAUCUUCGGACCUUGCGCGAUUGAAUGAGCCAAUGUCGGAUUAGCUAGUUGGCGGGGUAAAGGCCCACCAAGGCGACGAUCCGUAGCUGGUCUGAGAGGAUGAUCAGCCACACUGGAACUGAGACACGGUCCAGACUCCUACGGGAGGCAGCUGUGGGGAAUAUUGGACAAUGGGCGCAAGCCUGAUCCAGCCAUACCGCGUGGGUGAAGAAGGCCUUCGGGUUGUAAAGCCCUUUUGUUGGGAAAGAAAAGCAGCAGGUUAAUACCCCGCUGUUCUGACGGUACCCAAAGAAUAAGCACCGGCUAACUUCGUG
Molecule: ribosomal RNA, 492 nt
Filed under: uncultured bacterium
Lineage: Bacteria
Description: partial 16S ribosomal RNA
Rfam family: Bacterial small subunit ribosomal RNA
Source: RNAcentral